RNAcentral lists this ribosomal RNA (500 nucleotides) under uncultured bacterium. RNAcentral describes it as "partial 16S ribosomal RNA". It matches the Rfam family "Bacterial small subunit ribosomal RNA", at positions 30 to 523 of the family's 1533-position model. The record is from RNAcentral.
AUUGAACGCUGGCGGCAUGCCUUACACAUGCAAGUCGAACGGCAGCACGGGAGCAAUCCUGGUGGCGAGUGGCGAACGGGUGAGUAAUAUAUCGGAACGUGCCCAGUCGUGGGGGAUAACGUAGCGAAAGCUACGCUAAUACCGCAUACGAACUAUGGAUGAAAGCGGGGGAUCGCAAGACCUCGCGCGAUCGGAUCCGCCGAUAUCAGAUUCGGUAGUUGGUGGGGUAAAAGCCUACCAAGCCGACGAUCUGUAGCUGGUCUGAGAGGACGACCAGCCACACUGGGACUGAGACACGGCCCAGACUCCUACGGGAGGCAGCAGUGGGGAAUUUUGGACAAUGGGCGCAAGCCUGAUCCAGCAAUGCCGCGUGCAGGAUGAAGGCCUUCGGGUUGUAAACUGCUUUUGUACGGAGCGAAAAGGCUCUCUCUAAUACAGGGGGCUCAUGACGGUACCGUAAGAAUAAGCACCGGCUAACUACGUGCCAGCCGCCGCAGUAA